RNAcentral lists this ribosomal RNA (1905 nucleotides) under metagenome. Its description in RNAcentral is "bacterial LSU rRNA". It matches the Rfam family "Bacterial large subunit ribosomal RNA", at positions 1039 to 2925 of the family's 2925-position model. The record is from RNAcentral.
CUAAGGUCCCAAAGUUCUGGUUAAGUGGGAAACGAUGUGGGAAGGCUCAGACAGCUAGGAUGUUGGCUUAGAAGCAGCCAUCAUUUAAAGAAAGCGUAAUAGCUCACUAGUCGAGUCGGCCUGCGCGGAAGAUGUAACGGGGCUCAAACCAGGCACCGAAGCCGCGGAUUCACACUUAUGUGUGAGUGGUAGGGGAGCGUUCUGUAAGUCUGCGAAGGUGUAUCGAGAGGUAUGCUGGAGAUAUCAGAAGUGCGAAUGCUGACGUAAGUAACGAUAAAGGGGGUGAAAAGCCUCCUCGCCGGAAGACCAAGGGUUCCUGUCCAACGUUAAUCGGGGCAGGGUGAGUCGACCCCUAAGGCGAGGCCGAAAGGCGUAGUCGAUGGGAAGCAGGUUAAUAUUCCUGCACGACUUGUAAUUGCGAUGGGGGGACGGAGAAGGCUAGGUGGGCCAGGCGACGGUUGUCCUGGUGAAAGUGCGUAGGUGGUGUUUCUAGGCAAAUCCGGAGACACAACACUGAGACACGAGACGAACGCACUACGGUGCGGAAGCCAUUGAUGCCCUGCUUCCAGGAAAAGCCUCUAAGCUUCAGAUUACAAGUCAUCGUACCCCAAACCGACACAGGUGGUCGGGUAGAGAAUACCAAGGCGCUUGAGAGAACUCGGGUGAAGGAACUAGGCAAAAUAGAACCGUAACUUCGGGAGAAGGUUCGCUCUUGACAGUGAAGUCCCUUGCGGAUGGAGCAGUUGGGAGUCGCAGUGACCAGAUGGCUGGGACUGUUUAUCAAAAACACAGCACUCUGCAAACACGAAAGUGGACGUAUAGGGUGUGACACCUGCCCGGUGCCGGAAGGUUAAUUGAUGGGGUUAGCGCAAGCGAAGCUCUUGAUCGAAGCCCCGGUAAACGGCGGCCGUAACUAUAACGGUCCUAAGGUAGCGAAAUUCCUUGUCGGGUAAGUUCCGACCUGCACGAAUGGUGUAACCAUGGCCAUGCUGUCUCCACCCGAGACUCAGUGAAAUCGAAUUCGCCGUGAAGAUGCGGUGUACCCGCGGCUAGACGGAAAGACCCCGUGAACCUUUACUACAGCUUGGCACUGAACAUUGAACCUACAUGUGUAGGAUAGGUGGGAGGCUUUGAAGGCGUGACGCCAGUUGCGCUGGAGCCGUCCUUGAAAUACCACCCUUGUAUGUUUGAUGUUCUAACGCAGGGCCCUGAAUCGGGCUCGCGGACAGUGCCUGGUGGGUAGUUUGACUGGGGCGGUCUCCUCCCAAAGAGUAACGGAGGAGCACGAAGGUUGGCUAAUCCUGGUCGGACAUCAGGAGGUUAGUGCAAUGGCAUAAGCCAGCUUAACUGCGAGACGGACAGGUCGAGCAGGUACGAAAGUAGGUCAUAGUGAUCCGGUGGUUCUGAAUGGAAGGGCCAUCGCUCAACGGAUAAAAGGUACUCCGGGGAUAACAGGCUGAUACCGCCCAAGAGUUCAUAUCGACGGCGGUGUUUGGCACCUCGAUGUCGGCUCAUCACAUCCUGGGGCUGAAGUCGGUCCCAAGGGUAUGGCUGUUCGCCAUUUAAAGUGGUACGCGAGCUGGGUUCAGAACGUCGUGAGACAGUUCGGUCCCUAUCUGCCGUGGGCGUUGGAUGAUUGAAGGGAGUUGCUCCUAGUACGAGAGGACCGGAGUGAACGAACCUCUGGUGUUCGGGUUGUCACGCCAGUGGCACUGCCCGGUAGCUAAGUUCGGAAUCGAUAACCGCUGAAAGCAUCUAAGCGGGAAGCGAGCCCUGAGAUGAGUCAUCCCUGACCCCUUGAGGGUCCUAAAGGGCCGUUGGAGACCACAACGUUGAUAGGUGGGGUGUGUAAGCGCGGCGACGUGUUGAGCUAACCCAUACUAAUUACCCGUGAGGCUUAACCAU